UCUUUCUCAGUGUCGUGGAACCCUAAUUCUCUCUCAGAGUCCAGUCCACUGAUGGCUUCGCAAAUGGCGAUCUUCUUCCAGUCCACUGAUGGCUUCGCAAAUGGCGAUCUUCUUCCGCACGCGUUCUAUUCUCUUCUCCAAACUCUCUUCCCUCGUCAAAACCAUAUCCACUUUCCCGUCCUCUCGCAGGAGCCUCAACUGGCGGAUCCCGCUCCUCUCCCUCCCAACCUCGCCUCCGACAGCCCUUUCUACCACCAAAACUGGCGCAUCUCUUCCUCUCUUUAUUUCUUUCUCCUUUGAAACCCUCUCUUCCUGAGAGAUUGGUUUUUCACAGCGACGAGAACACUGGCAAGUACUGGUUUGGGUGGUCAGCUUUCUGGAGAUAUUGGAUCACUGUCUGAAUUGGAGAUUUUAUAACAGAAUCGGGCACAUUCCUGUGAUUGAUGAGAAGGGGAUGAUUGGAAUGGUGUCCAUUGGAGAUGUGGUUCAUGUUGUGGUGCGCGAGCACCGUCAAGAGUUUGAGCAUUUGAAUGCUUUCAUACAAGGGGGUUAUUAGAUGUUGAUGAUGGUGAAAAUCUCUAAAGAGCACUGAAGCUAAUUUGGAUUAAGUAAUAAGCCUGAGUGUUUGUAAAUAUGUUUGUGAUUUCAGUUCUAUCAACAUUAACCCCAAUGGUGUAGCAGCAUGUUAAUAAUAACAACUGGAUGCAUUUUGAAUC
Long non-coding RNA from Vigna angularis (adzuki bean), 716 nucleotides. RefSeq lists it as uncharacterized. The record is from RefSeq and is a predicted model, not a curated record. The transcript has 3 exons. Lineage: Eukaryota; Viridiplantae; Streptophyta; Magnoliopsida; Fabales; Fabaceae.